RNAcentral lists this ribosomal RNA (489 nucleotides) under uncultured bacterium. RNAcentral's name for it is "bacterial SSU rRNA". It matches the Rfam family "Bacterial small subunit ribosomal RNA", at positions 28 to 517 of the family's 1533-position model. The record is from RNAcentral.
GACGAACGCUGGCGGCGUGCUUAACACAUGCAAGUCGAACGAGAAUCUAUGGAAAGAGGAUUCGUCCAAUUGAAAUAGAGGACAGUGGCGGACGGGUGAGUAACGCGUGAGGAACCUGCCUUUCAGAGGGGGACAACAGUUGGAAACGACUGCUAAUACCGCAUAACGCAUAGAGGUCGCAUGAUCUAUAUGCCAAAGAUUUAUCGCUUCAAGAUGGCCUCGCGUCUGAUUAGCUGGUUGGCGGGGUAACGGCCCACCAAAGCGACGAUCAGUAGCCGACCUGAGAGGGUGACCGGCCACAUUGGGACUGAGACACGGCCCAAACUCCUACGGGAGGCAGCAGUGGGGAAUAUUGCACAAUGGGGGAAACCCUGAUGCAGCGACGCCGCGUGAGCGAAGAAGUAUUUCGGUAUGUAAAGCUCUAUCAGCAGGGAAGAGAAAUGACGGUACCUGACUAAGAAGCCCCGGNUAACUACGUGCCAGCAGCCG